AGCGAACGCUGGCGGCAGGCUUAACACAUGCAAGUCGAACGGGUGUAGCAAUACAUCAGUGGCAGACGGGUGAGUAACACGUGGGAACCUUCCUAGGGGUACGGAACAACUCAGGGAAACUUGAGCUAAUACCGUAUACGUCCGUGAGGAGAAAGAUUUAUCGCCCUUAGACGGGCCCGCGUCGGAUUAGCUAGUUGGUGGGGUAACGGCCUACCAAGGCGACGAUCCGUAGCUGAUCUUAGAGGAUGAUCAGCCACACUGGGACUGAGACACGGCCCAGACUCCUACGGGAGGCAGCAGUGGGGAAUCUUGGACAAUGGGCGCAAGCCUGAUCCAGCCAUGCCGCGAGAGUGAAGAAGGUCUUCGGAUUGUAAAGCUCUUUUGCCAGGGACGAUAAUGACGGUACCUGGAGAAUAAGCCCCGGCAAACUUCGUGCCAGCCGCCGCCGUAA
This 451-nucleotide ribosomal RNA is filed under the name uncultured bacterium. Its description in RNAcentral is "partial 16S ribosomal RNA". It matches the Rfam family "Bacterial small subunit ribosomal RNA", at positions 29 to 523 of the family's 1533-position model. The record is from RNAcentral.